Pezoporus occidentalis (night parrot) is the source of this 5396-nucleotide long non-coding RNA. RefSeq lists it as uncharacterized. NCBI's taxonomy places the organism in Eukaryota, Metazoa, Chordata, Aves, Psittaciformes, Psittacidae. The record is from RefSeq and is a predicted model, not a curated record. The transcript has 3 exons.
UGCAUUUCUUCCCACAGGCUACAGGAUGACUCCUUACUGGUUCUCAACAGCCACAUAGGAAUAGAUUUGAGGCACAGCCUGCUGCUAGGACUAUGUAGUAUGUUGUAGGGGCAAGACUAUCAUUUUAUUGUGCAUAUGCAUCUUGUAUCCUCUCUCAUGGGAUGCUGAUCCAUAACAGAGUCUUCUAGAGUCUCACACAACACAAAGAAUUCAGACUAGUUUCCCACGGACAUGCUCCAUAAAAGAAUUUCUUAGAAGAGAUAACUCAGCCAGGAAGUGGGAACUAGGGGGCCAGAUUCCUUCAUUCAAGUCAAUCUCCCAUCGGUAAAGGAUUUGAAGAAUUGUCCCUAUAUGACUAAUUCCAACUCUGCUUCCCUGAGUUCAGUAACAGUUUCUAAAGUAGAAGGGUGAAGCCAUUUGAGAGAAUCAAGUUUUAUUUGCUUUUUAUUCAUUAAGGAUUUUUUUGGCUAGAUUGAAUUUCUAAUAAUAUUUUAUUAAAAUUUAUGAAAUCUAGAAUUACUUUUCAAUAUCUAUAUCAUCUUCUGAUCCUUAAUACUUUUCAUCAAGCUCAAGGAAUGAAAACAAACUCAGCUGUUCCAUGUUUGUUCAUAAUUGACUUUUACCAGGGUUGUGUUAGCAUUGUUACAUCCUCAUUAUUAGAUGAUGGCAGAGUGCACAUUUCUGGGACAAGGCAGAAUACCCAUUCUUGCCUUCAGCAGUUUGCAACUGGAAAUUAGAGUGUACCCAGUCUGCUAGGAGAGCCAGAGACCGUGCUGCUGCUUUCACAGCCACCUCUGUCCCUUCCUCUACAUUGUCUGCAGAGCACACAGUGAAUUUGGCUCAUUUUCUUUGUUUAUGUGUCCAGUUGAUUUGAUGCCUGAAGUGAAUGCACACACUCUACACAAUGCACAGAAGAUUUUGGCUUUUUAUGGCUAAUUGAAAGUCUUUCCAUUUAUGUUAGAUUAAGCUGUAUUGGAUUUAGUUAAGCUAGUGCUGGGUAGCCACUUUUAUUCUGCACUAAGAGUGAUUUGUGUCUAUUUACCUUCAAUCCAUUCCUAAUUGGCUUGCACUGAGCUGAACUAACACCUGAUUUAUGCCCUCAAUUAUCCCAUUUCAGCCAACAGCUCAGGCAUGCUGUCCGGUUCCAGCAACUGAACGAGUUAGCGCACAUCAGUUGAGGCACAGUAACUGCAGCUUGCCUUGCUUUAGCCUGCAGCAAACGUGAGGUUCAGUGUGUCAGCUUAACCUCAGGGCCAAGAAAAGGAAAAGUCUAAACUGGUUUCUUCCAUCUGAGAUGGCCACAGGCUAAGAGCACACACAUGGUCAAUUACCAUGGCUCAGUUGAUGCAUGGUAAGUUGUCAAGCAUGUCAGUACGUGAAUGAGAUCACUCAGUCAUGUAUUCAGACCAUGCAAGUAUCAUUUUAAACUGGUGUUACAUAAAGAAGUGUAACUAUGGAUAUGGACACGUGGACAAAUUGGCAUGGGGAUAACAAGUCUCUGUGUGUCAGCUUUUCCUAUACACGUACCUGCAGGAAAUGCUAGAUGAUUUGAGGUAGCCUUGUCCUCUUUUGCCCAGGGGAAAGGUAUAGUGAAGGCACAGUAAAUUCAGAGCCUGGCUUCCAUUGCAAUAAUGGUUUUAACCUAUUUUAGAACAGUUCAGCUCUGCUAAAGUGUAACAAAACAGAUUUAAACUACUUCUACACCAGUUAAACUAUACCUGUUGCUUAGUUUACUCUGCUUAGGUCAAAUCUUUUGCAGGCCAGAUCUUUGAAUGAAUAAGAGACUUUCCAUUGCCUUCAUAAAGCAAUAUGUAAUAGAGAAGCUUGAGAACCCUUCAUUUUAGAGUUCAGUCGAAAAAUGAACUUGUAUCUUUCUUAAGAACCAUUGGAAAAAAACCCAAGACAAACAAUAGAAGAAACCCAACAGUCCCAAACUUUCAGCUUUCCUCCCAGGUAACACUAGUUGUCGUACUUCAUCCUUGUAGGAGAGCUGAGGAGAAAUUUGCUCCUUUCCAACAAGGAGCACAACAGGAUUUGCUAAACUGAAAUGAAAGACAGAAAAGUUCCAAACCCAGGAUGAGCCUGGACCCUUUCAAACGAUGACUGAGGUUAGUGAAACAGAGGAUCAAACACCACAACUUUGUAUACUUUUCCUUUUUAUUCAGUAUCUUGAACUCAAUCUCAGUUAAUCUUUCUCUACUUCCAUAUAAUGAAAGGGAAGACAUUUGAUUAGGUUAUGUGAGAUCACACGGAUUGAUUCAACACAUGGCUGCAGGACCAGGCGUUAUUAUCUCUGCUAACACGGACACAUUUUGAACACUGCUUCUCACUCUGCUAUCAGCCACCGCCACCUCUGCAGUAAUGUGACAGCAAGAGAAAAAGGAUGGGAAGGCGAUAAAGUUUGCCCACGCAAGUAGAAAAGAACUUUCUGUCCAAAGCCAGCUGGCUUGGCUUGGAAAUGAAAUGGCAUUUUAGGAUGAGGUGACCUGUUUAUAUGUGUAUCAGAGCUUUGUCUCAAAGCACUUGUCCUAGAUGCUAUAGCAGGGUCUGUGAAGUAGUUUAUCAUUAAGUAAGUAACCACGGAAAACAGGUGAGCUGUCUCAGUGCCAGUUUGUCUUCUAAACUGUUUGACAGAUAAGAAACCAUCCUCAGAGACUGCAACAAAUGUGCUGCCGCAUUUCAUGGUUAGAACUGAGCAUAUUUUUAGUAAAGGGUUGAGAAAGUAUGCAAUAAUCCUAAAUCACAGCCAAGAAAACCAUAAACCCCUUAACAAAUGCCUGUUCAGAUACAGAACUCUGAAAUGUGCACCAGUUGAUCCAUGUUAACACUUUGGUUGGAUUUUUAAACUUAUUUUCCAAACAAAAGCAAACGUUCAGCAGAGAUCGAUGGCAUUUUUGCCUUUACCUGAAGGGGCCAGAGGGAUCCUGUGGGAUCAUCCUAUGUGUACCCCCAAAGGAAUCAAUGGGAAAUACACCGAUGACAUAUUUGUACUGAGGGAGUCUGGACCCCGUUACAAUAGGCCCAAAAUGCACCUUAUAAGCUGCCCAAGCUUAAGAAUUAAACUUUAUUUCUUAAGUUAACUGCUUUGAAAUUUCUGUGUUAUGCCUUACACAUUAUAACAGAGCCACUGUGGGCUCUGGGGAUGAAGCUUACAAGGUCAGGGCAAUAAAAGCUGCUUUUCACAUGCGCAGUUUGGUCAGUGGCAUUUACAGCAAAGCAGGUAAAUGCAGGAAAAAUAACGCUUAUACUUGCAUUUUAAAAGCAGCUCUAACUGAUUGCAGUGGGAGCUGAAGUCUCCUGUGCAAGUCAGAAGCAACUUAUCUGGCUUUUAAGAGUUCCAUGAGUCUUUUGUCACUUGAAGAGGCCCCAUCAACUUCAAACCUACUUUAAAAAGGAGUUCAAAAUCUUUCCAGGUAUGAUAGUCUCCUAUAUCUAUUUCUGUCUCUUUUGUUUCUUAACAGCAUGGGAUACUGACCACACAUACUGCUGUCAAAUAUAGAAAUUAAACUUAGAGUAAAAAGGAGACAUUUUCUCUUUAAUCCCUUAGAAAAUUUUCCAGAAUAAAAUACAGUUCUUAAGUUUAUAAUAUCCCUUUAAGAAUUUAUUUGCCAGGUAAUGUUAGAAGAAGAAGGACUUUAAGGUCAGUUUGAACAUUUAAAAAGACCUCUUUUUAAAUCAAUUUUGAAUCUAUAUUUAAGAUAAUGGCAAGCACUGUUUGCACAGGUCUCCAAAUGAUAAAAUAUAUUCUAUAUCUUAAGAAUACAGGUAACUUUAAAAUCCUUUUAAGUGAUUUCUAGCUCUUUGGAAAAAGGGCAAGAUCUACCUAAGAAAUACUUUGUUGAAUAAAAAUAGUAGUUUAGUGUUGCAAUAUCUGACAGUCAUAGUAUGCAUAAAGCUACAAAAUCAUUAUCAGAUGAAGGCCUGCAGUUUUGGAAUAACAUGGUAAAUACGAUUGUUGGUUUUUUUUGAGGGGUGAAAUAACACAAUGCCAUCAGAAGAGAAAAGUACAUUCUAAUAACAAAAACAUUGAAUGUAACUAUUUUUCUUUAGAUCUGCUAUGCAAUCUGUGUGUUCUCUAUAAGAUGUCAAACUAUACUGUGCAUAUGUACACUUUGCUCUCUCUAUAAAUGUACAUGUGCAUGACACAUUUCUGAAAGCAGUAAAUGAGUGCUGGGGAAAUACAGAAACAAUGAAGUUCCUAAGAGAGGCUGAUUUUUUCAAGUUAUUAAAAGAAGGUGGCAAGCAUUCAUGAGGAUAUGAGAAUUUAAAGCCGUCUGCAGGAAACUCUGAAAACCUCUGGUUAAGGCUGCUGCCAAAAAAUCUCAGCUAUGUUAUGUCAGAAUGUUUAAUUGCAAGCUGCAGUUUUAAUGAAUGGAAAGAUAUGGCAAAAGCAGGAAGUUUCUGAAGCAACACAGAGCGACCAAGAAAAUAAAAUACCAAAGGUUGUAAUCUUGAAUGCUGUUGGAAGCAGGAAUUUCCAUCCACGCUCCGAGUCCUUUUCCUACUGCGCAGAAUUUGCCAGCUGUCUGGCUGAGGGGAGAGGUAAGCUGUUCUGGAUAUCAUCUCCUGGGCUCAGGGCAGCACUUGUUAUGUCUACAUGAAGAAGUCAGCUUCUUUACGUUUGUCAUUAUGGGUGUUUACAGAAAUGCAGCUUAGGAAUAAAGGGAGGAAAGGCAAAUGUCAGAGUGCAUUAAAUAACAUAUUUUCUUUACUUUCCAAGAAGCUUGCUCGCAGCAUGAUGUUACUAUUUAUAUCAGAUCUCUUAAACCCAGCUGUUGGUUCAUGUUAACAUGCGGAAUGGUGAGAAAAUCCCAGCAGAAGAGCGCGAAUCCCGGGGAGACUUGUGUUCUGUCAUUGUGAGGACCUAGAAAACAUCCCAAGUUUUGCUGAGGACACAAAACCUGAUUUCUGGAAUAUAAGGAACAUUUGAAAGGAGGCCUGAGGAACAGCCAUGGUACAGCUCUGGAGUGGUUUCUAAGAAGGUCCUAAAACAGAAAGCACUGUUGAUCCUUGUGUCCUGAAGCAGAGACAAGCCCUCUCCAUCGGUGAUUUAGUGCUUGGAAAUGGUUCCCAUUGUUUCACUCCGAGGCUGCGGGUACCUUGCAGGAUAACUGUGGAGAGGUUGUGGAGUGCAGAUGAUUUUUGGUGAGUACCUUUUUUAUCAUAAAAAAAAUUAUUUUUGGCUAAUUCUUCAAUCACUGCCGUAUGUGAAGGAGAAAUACGCCGAUUUUAUGUCUUUUAUUAUGUGUUCCAAAGUAGUCUUUUCUACUUAAUGGGAACUCUGACAAAGAUAACAUGAGAUGGAAGAACCAAGGUGGACGUCUGUCACCUGAGCCUGAAAUGUGAAGAUGGAGCUCAUGUCCUCAUAGAGCAGUGAUUCUCACAGGACAGUCAGA